CUGGCUCAGGAUGAACGCUAGCGGCAGGCUAACACAUGCAAGUCGAGGGGCAUCGGGAGUAGCAAUACGUGCCGGCGACCGGCGCAAGGGUGCGUAACGCGUGAGCAACAUGCCCGUAUCAGGGGGGAUAAUCCAUGGAAACGUGGUCUAAUACCCCAUAGUAAUUAUGUAAGGCAUCUUAUAUAAUUUAAAGCUUUGGUGGAUACGGAUUGGCUCGCGUGACAUUAGCUAGAUGGUAAGGUAACGGCUUACCAUGGCUACGAUGUCUAGGGGUUCUGAGAGGAAGGUCCCCCCACACUGGAACUGAGACACGGUCCAGACUCCUACGGGAGGCAGCAGUGAGGAAUAUUGGACAAUGGAUGGAAAUCUGAUCCAGCCAUGCCGCGUGCAAGGAAGACGGCCCUAUGGGUUGUAAACUGCUUUUGUAUGGGAGCAAUAAGGGCUACGCGUAGUCCGAUGAGAGUACCAUACGAAUAAGCACCGGCUAACUCCGUGCCAGCCGCCGC
RNAcentral lists this ribosomal RNA (506 nucleotides) under uncultured bacterium. RNAcentral's name for it is "bacterial SSU rRNA". It matches the Rfam family "Bacterial small subunit ribosomal RNA", at positions 19 to 518 of the family's 1533-position model. The record is from RNAcentral.